UCUCACACGGUGGUGAGCUGAAUGAAUUGGAAAGUACAACGAAACUCGUCUAUAGCCAAAAGAAACAUUGGGUGAAAACUUUGCACUGUUAGGCCAUAAUUGAAAUCUUUCAUUAUCGCGUCAAUGGUUGUCGUAUUAAAGAAAACCAAAUAACAGAAUGAAUCCUUGGGUAAAUCGAUAAUUACAUUGUCCGUAUUCUACUUGCAUGUGUGAUGU
Non-coding RNA from Paramuricea clavata, 216 nucleotides. Lineage: Eukaryota; Metazoa; Cnidaria; Anthozoa; Malacalcyonacea; Plexauridae. The record is from the annotation of a GenBank genome assembly.